CCAGCACCCCGAGUGGUCGGGACGAUUAUUGGGCCUAAAACAUCCGUAGCCGGCCUUACAAGUCCUCCGUUAAAUCCAGCUGCUUAACAGAUGGGCUGCGGAGGAUACUAUAAGACUAGGAGGCAGGAGAGGCAAGCGGUACUCAGUGGGUAGGGGUAAAAUCCGUUGAUCCAUUGAAGACCACCAGUGGCGAAGGCGGCUUGCCAGAAUGCGCUCGACGGUGAGGGAUGAAAGCUGGGGGAGCAAACCGGAUUAGAUACCCGGGUAGUCCCAGCUGUAAACGAUGCAGACUCGGUGAUGGACUAGCUUUAUGCUGGUCCAGUGCCGCAGGGAAGCCGUUAAGUCUGCCGCCUGGGUAGUACGGUCGCAAGACUG
RNAcentral lists this ribosomal RNA (375 nucleotides) under uncultured organism. Its description in RNAcentral is "bacterial SSU rRNA". It matches the Rfam family "Archaeal small subunit ribosomal RNA", at positions 476 to 851 of the family's 1478-position model. The record is from RNAcentral.